Oncorhynchus tshawytscha (Chinook salmon) is the source of this 4931-nucleotide long non-coding RNA. The record is from Ensembl. Lineage: Eukaryota; Metazoa; Chordata; Actinopteri; Salmoniformes; Salmonidae.
CACACCCGGGCUAACUCCUUCCCUCACACGCCUACUAUCCACUUUCGCCUGAGACCGCAGCCAGCGCAGGGCUCAGUUUUUUAUUUGAUUUUUUAUUUGCCUUGCUUGCUUUGGGUCUUUCCCUCUUGUACAGCGAGACCAUUUCGUCCCAUUUCACCCCUCUGCCCCUGAAAACAUAGGCCCUGGAUUGUCCCUGCAUCAGACUGCAUGCUACCAAUUGAUUUGUGCAUCUACUCCUCCCUAUUAUUUUAGCACUUUAUAUUAAAAAUUGCUCUCUAGCUUUAACGUAAAAUUCGGUUCAUUUUGAGUAAUUUCUUCACAUACCCAUUCUGGAAGAGAGGACGAAGAAAAGAAGAGAACGCUCACGGAAUGGACAGAUGAAAGGGGACAGCAGAAAAAAGAGUGAGAAAAUGGAGAGCAUGUUCUGUGGGAGAGCAAGAGAGACCUGACCUAUGCACCCGACAUUGCCAAUCCCAUUCCAUGUAGCCCAAGACCUGAAAAGAAUGCUGUGGUCUACUCUUGUCUUGAGUCCGUGGAAACUUCCCACUAAGGAGUAACAAUGGAAAGAAUUUCAGUCCAGCCUAAGUAAGGUAACAUCUCUGGCAAGUUUGGAGGUUUAGAGAUGAGCCAUUAUGAGGUGGAGCCAUUCACCAACCCAACACACAACACAAUUAUAUGGUAUCCAAACUAGUGGCAGAUUGACUCUUUCUUUCAGGGAUCGUCAUAAAUAUUUAUUCCUGUAGGAGUGACGCACUGAGAAGCCAGGUGGCUGUAUCGACUCCGACAGCAUAUCCCAAGAGAGCCAUGUUUCCGUGAAACGGAGUAUGUUACAAUAUCUUAUGUCUCUCUGGAAAGCAAACCUUGCCCUGAUUUUGUCGACCUUGUUAUCUAGGGACUGGACAUUAGCGAGUAAUAUAUUCGGGAGCAGUGGGUUGUGUGCACGCCUCUGAAGUUUGACCAGAAGACCGCUCCGUCUUCCUCUUGUCUGGCGGCAUUGUUUUGGGUUGGCCUCUGGAAUUAGUUAAAAUGCCCUGGGUGGUGCGGACAAAGGAUCCCCUUCAGGAAAGUUGUAUUCCUGGUCGUUGUGCUGGUAAGUUGACGUCACUCUGAUAUCCUAUAGUUCUUGAAGAAAAAGAAACGCACACCUAUUAAGACGAGGUAGAAAACUUGAAAAUAAAAGAGAGCCGCACACUAGGAGCUCAGAUGCCAAAUUUGAUUUCCAACGUUUCGACAGCCAAGCUGUCUUCAUCAGGGUAUAAUCACAAACACUGCGGGAUGACUCGUUUAUAUAGUGUCAAAAGACACAAGUGUCUGUAAUCAUGGCCAAGAGUGGCCUAAUAUCAUUGGUUAAUAAUCAAAUAUUAAAAUGUCAUACAAAGAACAGCAUACAAACAACAAAUGGAUAGCAUACGAUCAUAGAUUAAUUUGACUACACAAGCUUACAAACAAUUACAAUGGCAAAGUCACAAUAAUCACAAGAAUGGCUUCAGAUUAAAGUCUACGUUGAGACCGAACAAGGGAAGGAGGGGGAACAAGGGUCUUUAAGUUAAAGAUCCAGGCAACCUCUCGUUUUAACAAUAAAUUAUCAAGGUCACGCCCUCUCCUAGGGAGGGUGACAUGUUCGAUGCCAAUAUAAUGCAGAGACGAAAUAGAGUGGUCUGCCUCCAAGAAGUGGGCCGCAACUGGGUAAGUAAAGUUUUUACACCUAAUGGUGCUAUGAUGCUCUGAGAUACGUACUUUUAAUUUGCGCUUUGUUUUACCUAUAUAAUUUUUACCAUAGUUCUUCCCAGCUCUAUGUAAUAACACUUAAGAUUUUCUGGGCUAACAAUGUAAGAAAAAACUAAAUGCUGCAAAGUUUCCCAAGGACUAGAAGCAAGACAGCCCUCUCUGUCUUUUCUGCACGAAGGUGCAAGGUGUACGAUCGCCCAUCCCCAUGAGCGUGUCACGCUGUAGAAACAUCUCAAGGAUGAUCAAUGGAAACAGUAUGCACCUGGGCUCAAUUUCGAGUUAUGUUGAGUCAAUUUCGAGUUAUGUUGGCUGACAAUUUGUUAGCUAUGCUGUCAUUACGAACCACAUAGCAUAUCGUUACAGCAGAAUCCCAGCUAGCAAUGAGGAAUCGGCCCAGAAGCGGCCCUCUUCUGGGAGGCCGGAACUGAUUGAAUUCGCCCAGAAUUAGGGUGUCGGACUCGGCCCGGAAUCAAAAUGAAUGACUGCCCAGAAUCAGCCCAAGUACAUCGGGCCGUUUCCUCUACCCAAAUUCAGCUAACAUCUUACCAGAAUCUCCCCAGAAGCUGUCCGAUGCAAAUUUAAAUAAAUGUAUACAAAAUUACCCAAUUUAGUCAUUUUAAAUACUACUAUUAUACAUACAAAGUAUACCCAUCCACAAAAACUGAGGAAACACCAUACACCCGGUGACCGUGUCAGCGGGCAUGCGCCUGGCCCGCAGGACCUCCCCUAACUCAGACGAUGCUGUGUCAAUUGUGCAUCGCCUCAUGGGUCUCCUGGUUGUGGCAAGCACGGGACUCGAGACAGCAUCUGUAGCAACGCAGUUUGUACUGCGAUGCAGUGUCUUAGACUGCUGUGCUACUCGGGAGUGUAAUGAACACAAAGGGAGACAGAGAGCUGGUUUCAAGCGCAGGGCGCAGCAGGUGUUUAUUGGUAAAGGACCACAUGAGGAGGCAGGUAGCUGGGUCCAGGGGCAGGCAGAAGGUCAUACACAGGGGGUCCAAAAAGGCAAUAGUACAGGCAUGGAAAAGGCUUGUAACGUCAUCCGGGAGAUCAGGCAAUAGGUUGAUAACAGGAAAUCCGAUAGGCUAAAGUACAGGCAGGGAAUAGGCAAAAGGCAUUGUUAGUGAGGCAGGCAGAAACUAUCAUACACAGGAGGAGUAAAUCACGGGAAAAACAGAGCUCCGAAUAGAAGUGUGUCACAAAACAAACAAUACCUCACAAUGACGGGGAUGCAAAGAACUGAACUAUAUAAUGUGUGAUAAUGACAUACAAGUGUGUGAACAGGUAAUCAAAAUUCAGGUGAUUAGGAUCUGGAGAGUGAGCUGCGUUCAGGGGAUCUAUGUGCUUGAGAGUGUGAGCUGGAAAGUGGACUGGAAAGUGAGCUGUGUCCAGGGGAUCUACGUGUUUGAGAGUGAGUUGAAAGCAGAUGUUACAGGGAGGCUCCAUCCACAAAGUUUUUAAUGCUUAUCAAUUGCCUUGCACAAAGUAUAAAAAUUCUAAAAUACUACACAGGACUCUUAAAGAAUUUCAUUUAAAUGUUAAUUGUAUUUUUUGAUCACAGAAACAAUUAGAAAACAUGGAAAAAUAAAUAAUGAAAUGUUAAUUAUUUAAAGCAGCCCUCAUCUGCCAGAGAGUGGUCCCAAUCCGCCGAGCCCCAAGAAAUACAUUUGGGCCAAGUAAACUCUCACCGGAAUUCGCUCUGACUAUCUACAGUACUCUGAUUUCAGAGCACUCUCCUCUGAGUGUAAUGAAUUUAUGAGCGCUCAACCCCCAUUGAAUAUGACUGGUGUCAGUAAACUUCAGCAAAAGAGCGUAAUUUACAGUCACAGUUACAGUCACCAACGCUCUGGAAAACUGCCUAACCAGCUCUGCUAGGGCGAGUAAAAUGGUCAGAGUGGUCUCAUUUGUGUCUGGAAGUAGCUAGCAAGCUAGCCAACGUUAGCUUGGGUGUUUGACUGCCAUAAGAUCAGAAAGCCAAAGGCUGGAGUGUCCAGUGUGCGCUCCGAGAGCGAAAGUUCUGAAUUUACAAACAGACAAUCUGACUACGCUCUGAAUUUACAAGUGCACUCUGGCACUCCAGAUUGAAUUUAAGAACACACCCAAAGUUGUAAAAUGUUUAGCUAGUCAUUUGUUAUGCUAACUAGCGAGCAAGAGGUUGCAUAGCAACAGCAUCAACUUCCGGUAGACAAGUGAAGAGACAGUAUGCUCAACUGAAAGCAUACUGUUCGUUUACAGUAUACUAAAAUUAACUAUGUAGUAUAUACUCAUUAAGUGUGCAGUAUACGUAUGUUAGUAUGGGUAUUCGCACGCAGCUCUGGUUAACUCUGCCAGGAGGCUGAAACUUGGCUGCAAGUGGCUCUUCCAGCAAGACACUAACCCCAAGAACACAUCAUAAUCUACAAAUAAAUGAUUAAUUGACCACAAAACCAAUAUUUUGCAAUGGCCAUCUCAGUCUCUUGACUUGAACCCCAUUGAAAACCUGUGGUUUGAAUUGAAGAGGGCAGUCCAUAAACACAGACAAAGGAUAUCAAGGAUCUGGAAAGAUUCUGAAUGGAGGAAUGGUCUAAGAUCCCUCCCGAUGUGUUCUCCAAUCUCAUAAAACAUUUUAGAAAAAGGCUCAGUGUCAUUAUCCUCGCAAGGUGAGGUAUUGAAAACAGGGAUGACAAUAAUUUUGACCCCUAUCUUUAAAAAAAUAAAUAUAUUACUUGUUAAACUAAAUGUAUUUCUCUGAACAAUAAAACAACAUCAUUUUCAAAUGUUUUUGAGCAUACAAUAGCUCAGUAUUUCGAGCUAGCAGUAUAUCGCUGCAGCUGUACAUAGUCUAUCGGUAAAUAGCCCACCCAAUUUUACCUACCUCAUCCCCAUACUGUUUACAUUUAUUUACUUUUCUGCUCUUUUGCACACCAAUAUGUCUACAAUGUACAUGACCAUCUGAUCAUUUAUCACUCCAGUAUUAAUCUGCAAAAUUGUAAUUAUUUGCCUACCUCCUCAUGCCUUUUGCACACAAUGUAUAUAGACUCUCUUUUUUUUCCUGUGUUACUGACUUGUUAAUUGUUUACUCCAUGUGUAACUCUGUGUUGUCUGUUCAGACUGCUAUGCUUUAUCUUGGCCAGGUCGCAGUUGCAAAUGAGAACUUGUUCUCAACUAGCCUACCUGGUUAAAUAAAGGUGAAAUAAAAUAAAAUAAAAUAAAUACAAAUAUUA